Molecule: ribosomal RNA, 393 nt
Filed under: uncultured bacterium
Lineage: Bacteria
Description: partial 16S ribosomal RNA
Rfam family: Bacterial small subunit ribosomal RNA
Source: RNAcentral
AUACGGAGGAUGCGAGCGUUAUCCGGAUUUAUUGGGUUUAAAGGGUGCGUAGGCUGUGCGUUAAGUCAGGGGUGAAAUGCCGUCGCUCAACGACGGAGCUGCCCUUGAUACUGGCGUGCUGGAGUACGGAUGCCGUUGGAGGAAUGAGUGGUGUAGCGGUGAAAUGCUUAGAUAUCACUCAGAACACCGAUUGCGAAGGCAGCUGACGAAGCCGUCACUGACGCUGAGGCACGAAAGCGUGGGGAUAGAACAGGAUUAGAUACCCUGGUAUUCCACGCCGUAAACGAUGAUGACUAACCGUCGGCGAUAGACAGCCGGUGGCCAAGCGAAAGCGAUAAGUCAUCCACCUGGGGAGUACGUCGGCAACGGUGAAACUUAAAGGAAUUGACGGGG